UAAGUGUAUCUUUCUUUUAUUUUAAGAGGUAAACAGAAAUUAAAGUUGUUUCAUUAUGUUAUUUAUUUAACGAAAGAACAGAGGAAUCAAUAUUUUUUUUCCACCAAAAAAUGGGUCUAUCGACAGACGAAAUUUGAAAUACGUGCUUUUCUUUAUAUAUAUAUAUAUAUACUAUAUAUAUAUAUUAUAUAUAUAUAUAUAUAUAAGUCGGCACUUGUGCUACCAAGUUUUAUCGCCGACGUUAGCUUACCUUUUGAUCAUUUUACCGUUAGAUCAUACAUAUUCAACCAACCACCCACUCACCCGUAGGGAGACGCACAUCAUCGCUACCACAUCUCUUAAUCCAAUGUGCCAAAAUUGGUAGCACCAAUGACUGGUGCUAUUAAUAGCCAUAGUAGUAGUCGUUAGUAUAAUAUAUAGAAUUAUGCCUGCGAUACUUUAAUAGUUAAAACGUUCUUUAUUGUAUCAAGUUUUUAACCUUGGAUUAAAAAUUGUGUAGGCGUCAAGAUGUAUUAGUCGGGUUAGAGUUGAGUGGUCCCCCUAGGGUUGAGUGGUCCCACUGGUUUAUAUAUUUAUUCAAGUUAGAAAUAAUGAAAAGGUUGAUCAAAGUUUUUUCCUGGUAGCAACAAUGAGAUUUUGCUACUAUGAGUUAGCCCAGUCAACUCUCUCUCUCUUAUAUAUAUAUAGGUAGGCUGGUAUUUAGUGGGAAGCAUGGAGCCCUCCGAUGCUUCAGCUUUGUUUUCGAUGCUUCGGACUUUCGAUAUCGGCUCGGUUGAGUUGAUCUAGAGUAUUUGAAAUACCUAAAAAAUAAUUUGUGUGAUUUUCGAUGUUCAUUUGCCUCGUGAUCGAAGGGGUCAAAUAUCAAUAAUUUUAAUGGCGGUGCUGAGCCAGUUGCAGUUUAAUUGUGGUUGAGAAUAUCCAAAGUCACAUGAAUUUUGUAUAGAAAAUUCUUUCUACCAUAUAAAAGAAUCAUUACUUGAUCUAAAUUUCUAAUGUUAUUUCAUCAUAUUUUGCUAAUUUUAAUUUCAGCGUUGAUUUUGAGCCACUUCGAUCAUCAGGCCAAAUGAUAUAAAAAAGCACAAAAUUAUUUUCUAGUAUAUUUAAAUAGUCUAAGAUCAAGUCUACAAGUGGCGAUCGGUCGAUUCGAAAGUGCACGAAGAAAACAAAGUGGAAGCACGGAGGCGCUCCAUACUUUCCAUAAGCAACCAAACGCAUACUUAUAGUAAAGUACCAUUAAUAUACAUUAUAUAUGAAUAGGUAUAUAUAUACGUAUAUUAGAUGUUACUAUAUAUUGUUAUAGUAUGCAUUGUUAUAUGUGUAUAUAUAUUUAUAUAUAUAUGUAUAUAUAUAAUAUAUGUAAUAUAUAUGUAUAUAUUAUGUAUAACAUAUAUAUAUACAUGAUUUAAGGCUACGAAUACUUAUUUAUUAGUAUCGAGCUCGGUACUAUGUGUCUGUUUCGAUCUUAGGGGUUCAAAGAUCAACGAUCUCACACCGGUUAAAUAUGAUCUAGGUUAUAUGAAUUUUUAAGAAUAAAUUUUAGUUUUUUUCGAUAUCGUUUACUUAGUAAAUAAAUUAUAUCAAAAUGGAGCGCGGUCUGGAAAUUGAAUAAUCUUUAAAAUUGGUAUGAGACUUUUAUAAUUCAAGAUCAGAUGUAUAACUCUUAAUUUAUAUGUUUAAAGUAUUUUGCUAUCAAAUUGAAGAAAUUUAGAUUUUUCUACACGUUUAAACUCCAAAUCGUCAGUAAAUAGCCAUUGAAAUAUUGAAUUUUGAAUAGUUUUGAUCUAAUAAACGUAUGUCGAAGAAAUAUAAAAUUUUGAUUUCUAGAAACAUUUAAUACCCAAGAUCAGUUUUAACGGUGUGGAUCGGUUGAUUUGAACGCCGCUAAGAUCGAACCAAAUACUAUGUACCGGAGCUCGUACUAUAGAUAGUAGUAGUAGCUCAGCUUACUACAUAUAUAUACAAGGUAGAUUAUAUACAUCUAUAUGUAUAGUAUACAUAUACAUAUAUCAUAUACUAUUACAUAUACAUAUACAUAUACAUAUUACAUAUACAUUAUACAUAUAUACAUAUACAUAACUACAUAUUACAUAUACGUAUACAAUAUACAUAUAUUACAUAUACACAUAUACAAUAUACAUAUUAUCAAUAUAACAUAUACAUAUAUACAUAUACAUUAUAACAUAUAUAUUAUAUAUAUAUGUUAUAGCUAUAUAACAUAUAAUAUAUGUAUAUGUUAUAUACAUAUAUAUAUGUAUAUAAAUAUACAUAUAUAUAUGUAUUUACAUUACCGAUAUAUAUAUGUAGUAUACAUAUACAUAUAUAUAUGUAUAUGUAUAUACAAUAUUAUUAUGUAUGAUGUAUAUACUAUAUUAUAUGUAUAUAAUAUUACAUAUAAUAUAUGUCAUAUAUUGUAUACAUAUAUAUGUAUAUUAUGUAUAUGUACUAUUGUACAUAUAUACAUAUACAUAAUACAUAUAUAUGUUAUACAUAUAUAUACAUAUAUAGAUACAUAUGUUAUAUAUAUAUGCUCAUCGAUAUGUAUAUAUAUACAGAAGUAGGCGGCUUAAAUACUUUACAAGUAAUCGACCCAAGUCGAAUACUUGUGUGUUUUAGCCAUUGGAUUUACUUUUUUAUACUAAUAGUCUUGGAUCAAACACACUAUUCCACCUACACCAGCUACCACCACCUGACCACCAUCAUGCUCAACCUCACAUCUCUCCAUCCAAUGGCUAAAACACAACAAGUAUCAAUGGGGGAUACUUUUACAAGUAUCACUUGGGUGUCUCAAAGCACAACCUCAGCAUCCUCUUGCUUCCAAUAGCCACGAGUAGCUCCUCUCUGAGUAUCUCUCUCUCUCUCUACAUAUAUAAUAUAUAUGUUAUAUGCUAUAUAAUAUACAUUAUAUAUGUACAUAUAUACAUAUAUACAUAAUAUGUACUAUAUAAUGUUAUACCGUCACUAUACAUGAUACUUACCUCACUAUACACACCACCAUAUAUACCAUAAUAAAACCAUGUAUAUAUGAUCUACAUAUAUGACAUAUAUACAUGUAUAUACUGUCGGUACAUAAUAUACAUGUAUAUAUGCUUAGGCAGGGCUGCGUGCUCUCAGGACACGGAGGCCCUCGUCGCCUCCUAAGGCCGUUUCGGUGAUGGAUUUUGCGAAUCGACGAUCGGCUUCGUGUAGACUUGAUUCUAGCGCAUUUUGAAGUUUCUAGAAAAUAAAUUGUUGCAGAUUUUGUUCGAUAUCAUUUACCAGUGAUCGCAAAGAUUCACAAAUCUAUAAUUUUUAAUGGUCUGAUGCUGGCUCUCUCGGAAGCAUAAGAAAAUUGGUGCUUCCAACUUUUUGGCCCUUGGAUCAAUCCUCUUGACUAUUUCUGACCUUUGGAUUAAUAUUAUAACCUUAGAGGGACCACUCAAUCCUAGGUGGACCACUCAAUCCUAAGGAGGACCACUAUUAUUCUGAUCCUCUACCCCUAGAUCCAAGGACCAAAAGGUCGGAAGCACUAAUUUCUUUAUACUUUCGAAAGUAUAUAUAUAUAUAUAUAUAUAUAUAUAUAUAUAGGUUGGGGAUGCUAUACUUUUAUGAGUAUAGACACCCUUGUACUCAUAAACUUUUAACCGUUGAUUGAUGAGAUGUGUGGUUAGGAUGAUGGUGGCCCCCACUUAAAAUGAUAGUGGUCCCCUAGGGUUGAGUGGCUAGUUGGUUGAAUAGUAUGAUCUAACGGCCGAAAACUUAUGAGUAUUAGGAAGCUAAUACUCAUAAAAGUAUAGUAGCCGGACUCUAUAUAUAUAUAUAUAUAUAUAUAUAGUGUAGAGCUACUAUGCUAUCGGAAGCACAGAGGAUUUGAUGCUUUCGACUUUUUGACCCUUGGAUCAAGAAUUGUACUGUUGGGAUGAUUGCGGUCCUCCAGGGUUGAGUAAUACCCCUAGGGUUGAGUGGUCCCCACAGGGUAAUGUAUUAAGCCAAAGGUUAAAAAUGAUUAAAGGGAUUGAUGUAAGGGCCAAGCACCAGAUCCUCUAUGCUUCCAAUAGCACAGUAGCUCUCUCUAUAUCUCUCUCUCUCUCUACAUAUAUAUAUAUAUAUGUAUAUGUAUAUAUAUACAUAUAUAUGUACAUAUAUACAUAUAUACAUGUAUAUAUGUACAUAUAUACAUGUAUAUAUGUACUACAUAUAUACAUAUAUACAUGUAUAUAUGUAGAGCAGGGCUGCUGUGCUCUCAGGAGCACGGAGGCCUCCGUGCUCCUAAGCCGUUUUCGAUGAUGGAGUUUUCGAAUCGACGAUCGGCUCCGUUAAACUUGAUCUAGCGUAUUUAAAGUUUUUAGAAAAUAAUUUUUACGAUUUUUCGAUAUCAUUUACCUAGCAAUCGAAAGGAUUCAAAAUCAAUAAUUUUUAACGGCUGAAAAUAAAAAUCCUAUAAAAAGUGGUGAUAUAGCACUAAAAUUUUCGAUCAGAAAUAUAAAUCUUGUUAUAGAUAGUAUAAAGAAUUUUCUAUCAAAAUUUCAUCUGAUUUGAAUACUUCUACACCGUUAAACUUGAAAACCACGCGAGAUAUCAACCAUUAAAAAAUUAUAGAUUUUGAUCCUUUCGAUCACUAGUUAAAUGAUAUCGAAAAAUCGCAAAAAUUAUUUUCUAGAAACUUCAAAUGCGCUAGAUCAAGUCUAACGAAGCCGAUCGUCGAUUCGAAAUUCCAUCAUCGAAAACGGCUUAGGACAGCGCGAGGCCUCCGUGCUCCUGAGAGCACAGCAGCCCUGCUCUAGCAUAUAUACAUGUAUAUAUUACUACAUAUUAUACAUGUUAUAUAUGUAUAUAUGUAUACAUAUAAGUAUAUAUGUAUAUAUGUAGUACAUAUAUAUAUAACAUGUAUAUAUAGAUUAUACAUAUAUAUGUAUAUAUUAUAUAUAUGUAUAUAUUAUACAUAUACAUAUAUAUAUAUAUAUGUAGGAGAGAGAGAGAGAUAUAGAGAGAGCUACUGGCUAUUGGAAGCAUGGAGAUGCUGAGGUUGUGAUUUGGAACACACAAGUGAUACUGUAAAAGUAUCACCCAUGUGAUACUUGUGUUUUUAGCCAUUGGAUGGAGAGAUGUAGGUUGAGAUGAUGGUGGUAGGGGUGGUAGUGGUGGUAGGUGGAAUAGUGUUUGAUCCAAGGACUAUUAGUAAUAAAAAAGUAAAUCAAUUGGCUAAAAACACACAAGUAUCACUUGGGUGAUACUUGUAAAAGUAUUCUAGCCCUACUCUGUAUAUUAUAAUAUAACAUAUAUAUAAAUAUACAUAUGUAUAAUAUAUGUAUAUAUAGUAUAUAUACAUAUAUAUGUAUAUAUGUAUAUGGUAUAUAUGUACAUAUAUACAUAUACAUAUUAUACAUAUAUAUGUAUAACAAUGAGUAAUAUAUUAUGUAUAUAUAUAUAUACAUAUAUAUAUUAUAUACAUAUACAUGAUAUAUAUGUAUAUACAUAUACAUAUAUAUUAGUAUAUUAUAUACAUAUAAUAUUGUAUAGUGUAUAUACAUAUAUAUAUGUAUAGUAUGUAACAUAUAAUAUAUUACAUAUAAUAUAUUGUAUAUACAUAUACAUUAUAUAUAUAUAUAUGUAUAUAUGUAUAUGUAUAUACAUAUAUAUGUAAUAUAUUAUAUAUGUAUAUAUGUAUAUGUAUAUGUAUAUGUAUAUUAUGUAUAUGUAUAUGUAUAUGUAAUAUGUAUAUGUAUAUUAUAUGUAUAUAUGUAUAUGUACAUGUAAUGUAUAUAUGUAUAUGUAUAUGUAUACAUAUAUAUGUAUAUUAAUGUAUAUAUACAUAUAUGUAUAUAUAUUGUAUAUAUAGAGCGAGCUACUAUACUAUCUAUAGUACGCGGACUCCGUACUAUAGUUUGGUUUCGAUCUUAGGGCGUUCAAAUCAACGAUCCACACACCGUUAAAACUGAUCUUGGGUAUUUAAAUUUCUAGAAAUAAAAUUUUAUAAUUUUUUCGACAUAGUUUAUUUUAUAUCAAAACUAUUUCAAAAUUAUCAAUUUUCAAUGGCUAUUAUGACGAGUUUGGAGUUAACGUGUAGAAAAAUCUAAAUUUUCUUCAAAUUUUGAUAGAAAAUACUUUAAACUUAUAUAAAUAAGGUUAACAUUCUUGAUCUUGAAUUUAAAAGUCCUAUACUCAAAUUUUAAAGAUUAUUCAAUUCCACGUCCAUUUUGAUAUAAUUUAUUUACUAAGUAAACGAUAUCGAAAAACAAAAAUUUAUUCUUAAGAAAUUCAUAUACCCUAGAUCAUAUUUAACGGUGUGGAUCGUUGAUUGAACGCGCCUAAAGUCGAAAACCAACACUAUAGUACGGAGCUCGAUACUAUAAAUAGUAUAGUAGCCUAAUUCCUGUAUAUAUAUAGUAUAUACAUAUAUAUAUACAUAUAUAUACAUAUAUAUAAUAUAUAUAUAAAAAAAUAAUAUAUAUACAUAUAUAACAUAUAUAUUCAUAUAUAUACAUUUAUAUUACAUAUAUAUAUAUAUAUAUAUUAUUAUGUAUAUAUAAUGUAUAUAUAUAGUGCGUUUGGUAUGCUUAUGGAAGGUAUGGAGCGCUCCGCGUGCUUCCACUUUGUUUUCGUGUGUCGACUUUCGAAUCGACGAUCGGCUCUGUUAGACUUGAUCUAGAGUAUUUAAAAUAUCUAGAAAAUAAAUUUUGUGGCUUUUUUAUAUCAUUUGCCUAUUGAUCGAAGUGCCNNNNNNNNNNNNNNNNNNNNNNNNNNNNNNNNNNNNNNNNNNNNNNNNNNNNNNNNNNNNNNNNNNNNNNNNNNNNNNNNNNNNNNNNNNNNNNNNNNNNNNNNNNNNNNNNNNNNNNNNNNNNNNNNNNNNNNNNNNNNNNNNNNNNNNNNNNNNNNNNNNGGCCCCGGGGCGUGACAAUAUAUAUAUAUAUAUAUAUAUAUAUAUAUAUAUAUAGAAAAAUACGCAUAAAUAUAUGUUGAGCUAGAAUACUAUCAAAUACGCUAAACCAACUCUGACGCCAGCCAAUCGUUUUCGAUGAUCGAAAGUCCGAAUCAACGAUAAACAAAGUGGAAGCACGGAGCCCUACAUGCAUCCAGAAGCAUCAUAGAAAGCAAAUCUCAUACUAUAUAGAUAUAUAUAUAUAUAGACAAACAGAGAGAGAUGCAAAAAUGAACAGCUGAAAAUAAAUAUACUCUAAAAAGUAUCAUCAUUAUGGAGCUACUAGCAAUCAAGUCAUCGAGAGUAUACAUUUUGAUUAUAAAUAGUCCUCAGAUUAAACACUAUUCUCACCAAAAACCAACUGAUCACCACCUACCAUCAAAACGCUAAACCACAAAACGUCUCACAUCCAAGGACUAAAAACACACAAGUAUGAAACCCCAUGAUACUAUUACAAGUCAAUCAAGCCCAAAUAGAUAUAGAAAUAUAGAUAUAUAGAUACAUAGAGAGGUAUAGAUGCAUGUACAAAGAUAUAGAUACGUACGUAUGUAUGGAUGGAUCCAUGUAUAGAAAACGAAUGAGUGGCAACGGAGUCCGUAUGCUAUAGAUAGCAUAUCAGCUCAACUCUCUCUCUAUAUAUAUAUGUAUGUAUGUAUGUAUGUAUGUAUGGUUUAUGUGAACCAAAGAGAGGAUGGGUUUCGUCGCGAAUCUACGAUCAGUUCAGGCGAAACAAAAUCAUGGUCUUGAUGGUUCGGCAAUGCCGGAAGCGCUGGUGCAGUCCAUUCACAAAUUCGACGGACAUAUUUCUUGAUAUUGCAUGAUCUUCGAGAAAGGGUCGAAAUGGACAAAAAUAAAAAUUACGCAAAAGCCCCUAUAUUUUAUGUACCGAAUUGCGUGAAAUCGUACUUUGAGGUGCGUGCGCGCGUUUUACACACGCUGUGAGAGACUUAGCUUGAAAUAGUGGGAAUCGGAGGACUUACAUGCAAAAUAGCAUCAUUGUAUAUAUGCCAACCUAGGGUUUUCAUGAUCCAAAAUCCUAACGCUAGCAGCAUUGUACUCAGCUGAGCCCCCAGUCUUCUCCCCUCAAUCCUCCGCCUGUCUCGCGCGCUUCCUGGCUUCCGGCGACCAUGUUUUGGCCGGCCAAACGCCUCCACACCAUCAUCCAACCUCUCCCUCUCCUUCUCCACUGCCACAUUUCCCUCUUUCCCUACUUGAGAGCAAGGCAGGGUGCUAUUUCCUUUUUGGGCCCUUCACCGGCGACAACCCAGACCUCUGGCGACCUUUUCCAUCGACCAUAGCCUUCCCAAGCGCCGCUACUGCCGUUUGCUACCAACCUGGGUUGCGCGGGCAGAGGUAGCCGCGCCUCCUUACAACUCCGCUGCCUCUUUCCGGUCUUAAGAGACGUGUCGCUGCUGCCCCUUUGUCGUCCUGGCCGCCGCCGUCGCUGACAAACCUUCCCAGGCUGAGCCCUAGCUCGGGCGGGCUGAACUUUUCCCAACAUCGCCGCCACUGCUUCCCAGCAUUGGCCAAGGUGAGAGUCGCACUCCUCUUCUCCUCCGCACUCGACCUUGAGGUGCGUGCAGGCUGGAGCCUGGUUGCUCAUAGCAGGCUCGGAUAGGGCUGUUUUAGGGUGGUUUUCACUGUUCUAGGGACGCGAGGCAAUUUCGGCGCCUUCGAAGGUGAGCACGGUGACCCCUGGUCAGAGAUGAUCAUAGUACUCACCUUAUUUGCUAUCAGUGAGGUUCGGAUUAGCAUGUUGGGCCCAGUCGCUCCCCGUGCGCAUCGCUCGUUGAAGUUCAACUUGCUCCCGCGCAUUCCACAACAACCCGCAGUGCUCCGGACAGUAAGCACAGCCUUUGCCUUAUCGAGGCCUGUUAGCCCGUGUCACGGCUGACCCCGAAAGUACUUGAUUAGCGGCAAUGAGCAAUAAAACCCCUCCAAUUGCAUGUAUUGUUGUGAUUACAUGUAAUAGUAGGGUUUCUUACACAAAUUGUCACCUCUCAGCUGCUGUGGGCAGCGUGUAUAUGUGGUAGAUGACCUCUGGAUUGAUCGUCCAAGGUCUGAAAUCCUUCGCGGAGACCAAAUAUCGGUUUCGAUGCAUUUUUCAAAGAAAUUCGUCAGUAGACGGUUUCGGGUCAGAUUUUAUCCGACGCUAUUGGAACACCCUAAAUAUUGCCACUGAGCCUUGUUGGCUGGUCACCUACAUUAUCUCGAAUGUCCAAAGACGACAGGUAAGUAGCGGAGGGUUUCAGUAUUGAAAUUGACACUUCCGAGAACCCGGAUUGGAGCGAUUAUCCGACGAUAAUCGUUUCGACAUGUGACCUUCGUGUUUACUGCCAAGACAUCCAAAGUGAUGUGUUUUGAGGCAGCGGAUGACUCGUAACAUGAGUCGGUGAGUUUGGGACACUUCGUCGGUCCCGGCGGCGUCCCGGUGUGAUUUUCAGGACUUCGGGCGAGUUACGGAGAACGAUUUUUGGGAAAUCGAUUUCGUGGAAAAUUUUGGGGAUUGUGAGUGUUGUGUUUUGAGUCGUUUGGGUCGGACUCUGACUCUGCAGACCCUUUGUAUGUCUAGUUAACUAUCCUACGCAUCGUAGGGCAGACGCGACAGUGAUACAGAUGGGUUUUUCAAUCCGAAGUCGGUUUAGUGGUGCACGCUCGGUGAUGUUCCCUCCACUCUCUCUCUCUCUUUAUGUUCCUCACAUUACCUAUGAUUGUUGAGCCUAACACCAUAUGACUUCAUUAUAUGAUGCUCUACUCAGUUGUUUUUGUAUUAGAUUAUCAUAAUCUACGAUAGGGCGGUUGUUGAGUAUAUCUGUGCAUGAUGUGAUACCAGUUGUGACCUAGUUGGUCAGUAUUUUGAUUCUGGCUGUUUGAGGACCUAUUCGGUCGGCACACCUUGAGGGGUUGAUUGUUGGCUAAUUGCCGACAGCUACUGAUCAUAUUUGCAUCAAUCACCACUGCUCGUACUCAUUUUGUGUACACUAGCAGUAUGGCCACUGCAACUGUGUUCUUUUUCAAAAAAGUGGUCGGACUUUUGAACCAUGAGCCCAGGAGUUUAUGCUAGGGUCAUAUGCCAUUUACAGCGGCGUGGCACUUGCCUAUGGUUCUUAGACCGACACAGCGGAUUCUAGAUUGGGUAUUUUGGACUGAUCGUUCGAUUGAUUAAUGUUAUUUACAGUAGCGGUAGUUGCACAUCUAUUUUGUUUUCUAUUUGACAUUGCUACUGUAUUACUUUUCAUAGCUAUCUUUUGGUUACCAGUGAGCACACUCGUCCUCGUCGGCUUGCGGUACCCACUGGAAGACCCUUGUUGGUUUCUCACCACACCUCCCCCCCUCCCCCCAUUUCAGGUGAUCUUGGCAAACUGAGUCUGGACGAGGCAUGAGGUGCAUACAUAGCGAGAGUUAGAGUUUCCAGCUUGGCUACUUAUCGGUUUAGUCUCACCCCUCUCGGUUCAAUAAUGAAUUAGAUAGUAUGUGGUUCAAUUUUAUCUCUAUUUAACUUUAUUUGAUUUUACUCUGACAAUGGCAUGACUUAGAAUACUAAAUGAAACUAUUUUUGUGGACUUCAUGUGGAUUUGUAAAAAUAAUUUUCUAUCCCUCGUGGUAGCUUGCUUUUAAAAGAUAAGGGUUUCCGUGUGGAAAAUGGUUUUCAAAAAGGUUUUACAGUUUUCGUGAUUCUAGUAUUUCAAAAUAAGUUUUCGGGUGGGAAACGUUUUCAACUGAUAAAUGUGAUUGUAUAAAGGUACUUGUGAUCGUAUGUUGUGAAUGGAUGUGGUUGUAACUUCUAGGAUGUGUGACGCCGUGCAAAUACAUGAAAGACUCUGUCCGUGUAGACAAAGAGUUCUCUAUAUUUGUGGCGGGUCUGUCACCCUUGGGGUCAAGGUUUAAAAAAAAAAAAAAAAAAAAAAGGCACUUCCGCUAAUUCAAAGCGACGGCACAAAGAAUUUGGUCAAAGAUUUCUAUCUUCUCUAUUUUCGUCUUCUCGAUUACGAUUUUACAAAAAGCUUUUUUCGGUUAUAUUUUGGAGAUUUCAUUGAAGCAAGAGAAAGAUUGCAUUUGUUGGAAAAUCUUUCUGAUCUUCUAGUAAAAUAUUCUUUAAAAGCAAUUCAAAAGCUUAAUUUUAAUUUUAGAAAAAUUUUGAAAAAAAAUUAAAUAAUAAAUACUGUAGAGAAAAGGAUAGGAUAACUCCUGUAGAUCGAGGCAUGUAGAGUACUGUCUAGAAGUGAAAUUGCCCCUCCACGUGCGAGGCUUUCCGACAAUUACUUCAAGGUGGCGCAAGAUGAACUUGACAAGCUUUAGGAGUCCAGCGAAAUACUAGAAAGCUUAGCGAAAAUCAGUGCAAAAGUUCAAUAGCGAGAAAUAGAAGAAACAGAGGUAGCGGUUAGGGUUUUGUUCUUAGGUAUGCCUAGGUUCAAGGUUGAACUCAUGCAACCUCCUCUAAUAUAUAUAUCCAAGGCAAAGAUCUUUCUUCAACGCGUCAAUUCCAUAUAGCAUGAGAUAAGUCUAAGAUUAUACGGGAUACGGAUUAGAACUCCCACAAGAAUUAGGAAUAAGCCAAAAAAAAAAAUUAAAAUAAACCGAGUACCUGGACAGCGUGCGCCACCCGCCCGGCUCGGCUCGUAUGUGUUUAGUCGAGGGCAUAACUCUCAUUUUCUCCCAAGCAACUAGCUUGCGAAUGAAAGAGUAUAUAAAUAAUAACAACAUACUUUUAGUUUCCAAUAUGAGACUGAUCCUCACAUAUGAAAACCUUAAUAUGGGCUCCUAGGUAAGGCCCAUCAAGUAUUGGGCUGCUCAAAAGGCUUAAUAAGUUUUAAAUUACCAAAAACCCAAUAAAAUCUAACAAGAUUCACUAUAAGACUCUUGAUUUUUUUAUCUAGAGAAGACAUAAGGUAUAACCUUGUAUUUCUAUUUCCUCAUAUAUAUAUAGUGGAAUACAUCUCUCUCGCUUUUUUCGUUAACGUAGGCAAUUACAGAACCACGAAAAAUCUUGGUCUAUUUUUUCUGCAUUUAUUUCUAUGGGAAUUUGGUUAGAUUAGUAAUAGAUUUCUAGUUGAAUUAGGAAAAAUAUUUAAAUCUAUUGAAUAUAAAUUAAAAUGGAUUUACAUAUUGAUUAGAGUAUCCAUCAUAAUUAUACUGGAUUUGGGUACAUUUUAGGGGCUUUAUUAUAUAUAGCAUAGGAUGAUUAAUUAAUCAGGAAGUAUGUGUUACGAUUUGGUUAAAUUUUGCAGUUGAAUCCUAAUUGAAUUAUGAUUAAUAUUUAAAUUUGUUGGAAUAAAUUAAUUAAGAUUUAAAUAUUAAGUACAAUAUAAAUAUAAUUGUACUAGGAUUUGAAUACAUCUUCCAUAGAGCCGUAUAUAUAGGGCCGUGUAUGCUAAUUAUUGUAUAGCCUACGUAGUGUACGGCUAAGCCCGAAGCUCUUUUUUGGCGUGAUCGUACCAGGGAGAAACUAGGCCUAGUUUUGUGCACCUAGUGCAUGGAUGCAUACGGAAAUUUGUCUUCUAGAAUUAUAAAAGACGAGAGAAGUGUGGGAGAGAUUCAAAAAGAGGGCUCGAGUUGAAGCUACUUAGUGUAGAAAGGACUCAGGUGUAAUCUUCUUUUGUUUAAUGAAUCUUAUUUUAUUCGUAUAUUUUUUUUUCUUUAAUUUUUCUCAUUUGUGGUUGUACCAGCUGUUUGCCGAGGAGACAAGUUUAUCGAAAAAUUCAAUUUGACGCUUCUGUUGGUACCAAUCAACAACAGUCGGUAUCAAAGCGGGUUAUAGAUUCUCAAAAUCUAGUACCAGGCUGAGUACCAGAUUCCCAACAAUUAGUAUUAGAACUUAAGUUUAUCGAUUCUCAGGAAAGAUCAACUGAGGUGGCCACAAAAUUCAAAAUUGAGAAGUUCGACGGUAAGAACAAUUUUAAAUUGUGGCAGAUUAAAGUACAAGCAAUUCUCAUACAAUAAGAGUUGGAGGCAAAGCCAGCGGAGCUCAUGGAUGCAAUAUAGAAGAAGAUGGGGUGAAAAGUAUUAAGUCACUACAACAGAAUUAGGUUAUAGAGACACAUGUUUGGAACAUUUUUGUGUAAGUGUCCCAUUUAUACCAAAACUUUAAAAAAAAAUCUACUAAUGUCUAAAUAUAAAGCUCAAUCCAACAAAAAUAAACGGUUACCCUACUCAACCCACCCCACCGAGCCGAUUUGGCCCGAUUACAAACAGAAAAGAAAAAAAAAAGAAAAGAAAAAUCGAUUACCAUCUCCCAUUCUUUCCUCACUCAAUCCACUGAAAUCCUAGACGAAGAUCCCUUCCUCUCGUCCUCUUCCGCCACCGCAGCCAACGAGGUAGAGUUUCGGCGGUUGCUAAAUGCUUAAAUAAGUGUUUGUAAAUUAGCAGCACUCUUUUUAGAUUAUAGCGACACUCUUUAACUCUCACUGUAUACCUAGCGACCCCACAUAUAGCAACACUUUUUAAAAGUGUCGGUAAUUUAGCCAGCAACACUUUUUUUGACAUAUACCGACAUUUAAAAGUGUCGUUAUAGACCAUUUUUGUUGUAGUGGUACGCUUUAUCUAUCGUUAACAGAUGAGGUUCUCUCCUACGUAGCCAGCAAGUUGACACCGACGAAGUUGUGGAAGAAGUUGCAAGAUCUGUACACGACCAAAUCCUAACAAAUAGGCUAUAUUUGAAGCGGCCACUAUUCAAGCUAUGGAUGCAGAAAACGGCGAGCCAACACGAAUAUCUAAACAAGUUCAAUAAAGUGGUGGCUUAGUCGACUAGCAUUGGAGUCAAUUUUGAUGGUGAGGACAAGGCGCUAAUUUUACUAUCUUCGCUACUGACGGUAUAUGAGUAUUUAGUGACCAAAUUGCUAUAUGGCAAGGAGACCAUAAAUGUGUUGGCGGUCACGGCGGCGCUUUUCUCUAAUGAGAUACGAAAGAUGACUCAGGAGUCUAGCAUGCAUAGCCAUGAUAUUGCUCUGGUUGUAAAAGCGAAGAAUGAUGCGAAAAUAUCAGUGACCGCAAAAAGACAAAAGAAGCCGUUAUCUGGGUGUAGUUCUUCUACUGUAAUAGGAAAGGGCACAUAAAGUGUAACUGUCAGAAUCUUUAGAAUGAUCUGAAGAAGUUGAAGCGAUAGAAGGAGAAAACUACCAUGACGAGGAUGAGGAGACAUUAGCGAUGGCGCAGGCGACAGAAUCGAAGAUGAUCAAUUUCGAUGUGCUCUAUGCAGCGACCGGAGGUGCUAAAAUUUUGGAUGAUGCGUGGGUGCUUGAUUCAGCGUGUUCCCUUCAAGUCUGCCCAAGGAAGGAGUUUCUUGCCACCUCUAAGACGAUUCGGGUGGAAAGGCUCUGACGAGGAACGGGACGACGUGCAAAGUUGUGGAAGUCGGCACAGUAAUGAUCUGGAUACACGAUGGAGUCGUGAAGAUGCUGACAAGUGUGCGGCACAUUCCUAGUUUGAAGUAGAAUUUGAUUUCGCUAGCGUGUUGGAUUUGAAAUGUUGUGAUUUUUCAGCUUCAGGUGGAGAUAUGGCGGUACGAAAAUGAGAUUGGGUCGUGUGCGAGGCCUACAAGCACAGGAAUUUUUAUAUUCUGAACGGGAGUACAGUCAUAAUGGGAGUAAAAUCAGUUUGGGUUUCAAAAGUUCGUGGAGAUUCUGUCGCUCGAGAUGGAGUGGCGAAUACAGUGACAUCGAGCGGAGGAGACAAGCUCAAGGUGGAGCUUGCAUGGUAAGUUUGACGUAGCAGUUGAAAACUACAAAUCAAACUAAGGUGGUGAUUGUUAAGAUCUGGUCAGAUCUAUAGUUAAAUCCUAAUUGGAUCAAGAUUAAUAUUAAAAUCUGCUAGAGAUAAAUUUAUUAAGAUUUAAAUAUUAAUUAGAGUAUAAAUAUAAUUGGACUAUGAUUUGGGUACAUCUUGGGUCGAUCCUUGUAUAUAGGGCCAUGUAGUCAAAUUAUUAUAUAGCCUAGGUGUUGUAUAAGCCCAAAGCUCUUUAUUGGUGGUGACUAUACCAGGGAGAAGCUAGGCUUGGUUUGGUGCACAUCGUGCAUAAGUGCACAUGGAGAUUUGUCUUCUGAAAUUAUAGAAAAAUGAGAGAAGGGUGAGAAAGAUUCAAAAAGAGGGCUUGAGUUGAAACUAUUUUGUAUAGAAGAGGAGUCAGAUGUAAUCUUCUCUUAUUUAAUAAAUCUUAUUUCAUCCACAUUUUUUGUUUGAUUUUUUUCUCUUUUUUGUGGUUGUGCCAGUCAUUUGCUAAGGAGAAGGGGUUAUGGUAAAAAGUCGAUUUGACACUUUUAUUGCAAAAUCCCAACAACUGGCAUCAGAUCAACACCAGUUGUCAACGAAGUGGAUUACAGAUUCUCAAAAUCUAGUACCAAGGUGAGUA
RNAcentral lists this long non-coding RNA (15239 nucleotides) under Ananas comosus (pineapple). RNAcentral's name for it is "long non-coding RNA (ACOM_LNC015301)". Lineage: Eukaryota; Viridiplantae; Streptophyta; Magnoliopsida; Poales; Bromeliaceae. The record is from RNAcentral.